Molecule: long non-coding RNA, 537 nt
Organism: Lycium ferocissimum
Lineage: Eukaryota; Viridiplantae; Streptophyta; Magnoliopsida; Solanales; Solanaceae
Exons: 3
Source: RefSeq, a predicted model, not a curated record
GGCCUUGAUCUUUCUUUUUAACUGCCCAGAGAAUUGAUAGUUUCUCAUGAAGUUUUUAUUGGGGUUAAAUGUAAAAUGUUGAAGGAGAUACCGUGUUGGAGUUUCCGGUUUCUUGUCAAUCAAUCAACGACGCGUCAAUCCCUAAUUAGUUAGGAUUGGAUAGUUUAAUUGCUGUAUUUGUUGCUGUUAUUGCUAAUUUGUGACUUUUCAUGCUUUAUUGUCAUUGUUUUUUGUGAUUAUUAGGUUUUGGGUUGCAGAGUAAUUCAUUCAUGGGUUUCUAAUUCUCUUAGUGGUAUUGUGCAACAAAUUCAUCAUCAAAGCACUGCUGUAGCAGAGGUUGCCAGCCUACUUCAUGAUGAUGUACUGGAUGAUGCUGACACAAGACGUGGGAUAGGUCCUUUAAACUUUGAGAUGUGAAAUAAGCAGUCUGGUCCAUACCAUUUGGGCGUAUUGGCAUUACCAAAAUAGAUGAUCCCUGAGCUCUCUUCCAAUUUGGCACAUGACACAAUCAACAUUGACAUUCAUUCCUCCUUUGAU